AACCCAUGGUGAGGGCAUCUUCACAAAAGGUCCUUAUAUCUGUCCCAUGCAUCGUAGAAUGUUUCUAAAUCUAUCUGCACAAAAGAAAAGUUAUCAUUACAUAGUUU
RNAcentral lists this small nucleolar RNA (107 nucleotides) under Gossypium hirsutum (cotton). Its description in RNAcentral is "Plant small nucleolar RNA R71". It matches the Rfam family "Plant small nucleolar RNA R71". Rfam says of the family: R71 is a member of the C/D box family of snoRNAs containing the C (UGAUGA) and D (CUGA) box motifs. Multiple nearly identical copies of this snoRNA have been identified in Arabidopsis, and it is thought to function as a 2'-O-ribose methylation guide for 18S ribosomal RNA. Lineage: Eukaryota; Viridiplantae; Streptophyta; Magnoliopsida; Malvales; Malvaceae. The record is from Rfam by way of RNAcentral.